Taeniopygia guttata (zebra finch) is the source of this 9632-nucleotide non-coding RNA. The record is from RefSeq and is a predicted model, not a curated record. NCBI's taxonomy places the organism in Eukaryota, Metazoa, Chordata, Aves, Passeriformes, Estrildidae.
UUAAGACAAUAUAAAAAAAACUUAGAAUACUCUGAUAACACAAUUGAUGUUCUGUAUCCACAGAUGUACCACAGUGAGUGACUAACCUUGCAUCAUCAUUCAGACAUUCAGACAGCAAGCAACACUGGACAUGACUAAAUUUUUCUGUAUAUCUGUUGUGAAUGUGAAAAAAAAUUACUCAUGUGAGUUUUUAGAGUUUCUCUUUUUCAAUCUGUCUGAGGAGACAGAUUGCUUCAGUUCUCUUUUAGCAUGAUACAGAUGCCUCACCUAGAAAAAUAAAUCUUAUGUUCACUUGUCUUCUCUUGAUAAUGUCUGCAGGUAGCUUAAAACUUUCCCUGAUUGCUUUUUAUCUCUUUUUUGGUCUGUUUUUAAAGACAUUCCAAGGUGUUGCUGGACAGCUCCUUUUCCAAAGGGUAGCAGCAGCAGAGGUAACAGGAAACCAAAGAGCAUCCUGCUUAGGCUGAUGAGCCUUUUGUUAAAAGGACAUGUGGGUUUUUAGUGUAGUCUACCAUUAUUUGAAGAAGACCAGAGAAGCAAACUAUGUCAACCCUCUGAUGGUUAGCGCUACCUUUUCCCUCUACUUUCUGUAUUCUUUUGCCUUCAUGGUUUAACCUAGUUACUUUGGGAGAUUGUCAGCACUUUUACCAGACUGAGAUAAAUAUCUGUUUCUUGAGAAUGAAUGCAGUUAUUAUUUACAUGCAGUCCUACUCAUUUGUGAAUGCCUAUGAGAUAACUUUAACCUCAGCACUGAGAUUUGACUCUAUAUAUGUAAAUAACACUAUUUUAUUAGCCGGAAUGGCAAGAUCUGUGUAGAUAAUGAUGCCUUUGUUACGAUGGAAAGAUUGUUAUGGUGGAAAGAUCAUGACGGUGCAAAGAUUGUCAGACUAGAUGUGAGAUAUUAUUUAAACUUUGAGGAAUGGGACACAAUGUAGACAAGUAUUCUCAGCCAUGAUAUAGCUGUGUCACAUGUUUUCAUUUUGAAACAUAACCACAGGUUGUAAAUGCAAACAAGGCUGGGGAAAGCCAAAAUUGCCUCCUUCUGAGAACUAUAAAAUGACAUUUUGGGAAAAGAUGGUUCUGUUCUACUCUGUAGUGGUUUCUGAAUAUUGGCUGUGAUAAUGUCAAAAAAAUCCAGAAUUUGUACUCUGAAUGCUCUUAUCUGAGCUAUUUGCAUAUAUUUUAAUAGCACAUAAGGCAGGGAUGAACCUGUGCCUCUGACUUGAGUACACCAUUCACAGUCAUCCUGAUCUGGUGGAAAGCUCUGGAGACCAAAUCAGAAUAUAUCUCUAACUGUUAUUUUUAUGCACCCACUCGGUGAAUGUUGUUGCUGCUUACUUUCCCAGUUCAACUAGUCCCCUAAUCUCACAAAAUCAUCGUGCCUGUAUGCACUGAUGGACAGCACCAAGGCAAUGGCUCUCAUAGCAGGUGGUUUGUGGCCCCUCAAAUAGGCUCUGAGAAAUCAUGGUGAGAAAAUAGAGGAACUGCAUUCAACAAGGACUGCACAACUAUAUCUGUGGUAGAUAUUAAGUAUAUAAGGUGUGGAAAAAAAAAUUACUCAGGUAGAUCUGCUGAUGUAAGUGUGGCAUGACUGAAGAGGAAUGUACCUUCUGUGUCUCUAGAAAAGUCUAUCAGUGCAAUACAAGAGCCAUAUUGGCUAAUAAGUUAUGAUCCUGGUUAAUAGUUAUUGAAAUGGUUAAUCUUUUGUUGCCUCCAUUAUCUACAACAUUUUUCCAAAGUGAUGUGAUAAUAUCCUUUUUGCCUAUUUAGGGGAGCCUUGCACAAAUCAUUUCUUGAGGAAGUUGAUAGACAGGUGGUAAGAAUGCUAAACAAAUUAAUUUGAAAAUUAAUGAAUAUUUUAUGUCUUCUGUGAGAAGAUGUUGAAUGUAUAUACAUUUUAACUUAUUUGGCUACUUAAAGCACUGCCUAGAAAACAAAAAAUAAGUUUAAAAAAUGACCAGCUGAUCAUUACUAUUUGAUUACUUUUUUUAGCAAUGUUUCAGCUGAAUGCAUCUAUUUUUCUAACCAGUCACUAGGAGAGCUUCACUGUGAUAAUGAAACCAUUUUUAAUCUUUAGUAAACUAAAUAGCAGAAAGGUAGUCCAAAAUAAUAUAAAAUAUGAUUCUGAAAUGAAAUCCACAAAAAGUUUAAGAACACAGCACUCCUGCUGCUUUUUGAUGUGAAAUAUCUAGCAACCUUAUUUUUAAGUGCUACUCAGGUGACUGAGGUAUUAAAAAGUUAACUAGACUCAUAUAUUGCUUCUAGGUACAUUUUUGUGGGUUUGGAAGACAAAGAGACAUCUCUCAUGACAGCCAUAAAAAAAUCUAAAUCUGUCCUCCUUUCCCAAGUUUUUCUUUACAGUAACAUUUUAGCUCUUAGCAAUGCCUGCUGAUGGAUACAUUUCAUCCAGAAAAUUCAAUUGCCUACUCCUGUUGCUGCUAUGGUUACAGAUAAUGACAUAACUUCUUGUUCUGGUAGAGACAAUGAUAAGGGUUGUUAUGAUGGGUCAAAGCAAAAAGUUUCAAAGUUAGAAAAACUUCUCUGAAAGCCAGGUGGUUGAGUAGCACUUGAAGCAAAAUCCUAUAUCUUUUCUCUAGGAGUUGAAGAAAGAGAAAGGUUUUCUUUUUCCCUUCUCUGACAGUUUUAAAAUUGCAUGCACCCUGUUAAAACAUGGCUAUGAGUAUGUGUACUUUUCUAAUUAUUACUCCAGAAUAAAGAACACAACAAUAUUAGAAGGCACAGGUGAAAUCAGGUUUAGAGGAUGAUUAGAUCCAAUCCUACCCAAAUGCUUCCAGCAGACUAAGACCCAAAGAUUUGUGUUUUUCCCAAAGCUGUGCUUGUUAAAUCCAUCUCCUUUGCCUGUGCUCAUCGCAGCUCAUUGACUCCCUGGGAAUGCCUCCAUCACCCCACAAAAGCCUGUGUUUUCAAUGAGGUCCAAUGAUUUUACAUAUAUGCAAUUUUUGCAUGGUUCUUGUCACUUAUAUUUCAGUAGUUUAUUUGGGAUUUUCCAGGAAUUUCUCUUGCAAAUCUCCAGCUUUCUAACUCUUUCUAUUGAUAAGGUGAUGUGGGGGAAAAGUACAGGGAAAACCUGUCUUUUGGAGGUCUACUGCUUUUGAAAUAUCUCCUGUAAUUCUCAGGGUUUUUCUGUCCUUUUCAGAGCCUGACAAUAGGAAGGAUACAGCCUGGGUAUAGUGUUCCCCAAGCCUUCAUUUCCAGCAGCUCUAGUAAUUUUGCCAAGCCACAAGGAUCAAAAACCCUGGGCCAAAAUCCUCUCUUAUUUACACUGGCACACAUUUGAAGAUCAAGCCAGCAGAGUCAACACAGUUUCACAACAGCGAAGACCACCGCUCUGCUGCUCUGCUCUAGGUCAUGGUAUGUGCAUCAACAUCUUUUGGGAGAAAGAAGGGGAGGAGCUUUGAAUGUAGCUUGCUGCAUAUGCAAUCUUAUAUAUGCAGCUCAUGACCCUGGCCAAGUAAAAACUGAAAUGUAAGGAAGCACUAAUAGAUUGUUCUUUAUUUCUCCCUCUCUUUUCCAGUAAAAAACAUUCUGUCUAUGAUGUUGAUUGAACCUUUACAAUUCCUUCCUGUCUUUAUAAUUAAUUUCCUAUUUAAUAUGUAUGUACUUUGAUUUUUCUUUUAAUGUUUGUACACACUUUUCAUUGUAAGAGUGAUUAAAAUUUGCCAUACAUUUUAAGACCCUAUUAGCUCUUUGCUUGAGUAACGAAGAAUUGAGACACUUAAACAUAAUUUCUGGAAAUAUUUACUCAGUUAUCCACUUUUGGGGUGCAGUUGUUUAUUUCAUAACAGUGGCCUGAAAACAGACCACAGAUAAACUGUCAGCUUUGACUGAGUUUCAAUUGGAAACUUCAGUUUUUCAAGUGGAGCUCAAUGAACAUGAGCUGAUGUAUCUUCAAAUCAAGAUAAUAUUGAUAUUAAUUUCUUGGAAAGUAAGCUGUUUGAUAUUUUGUUGUAUAUUUUCUAGCCUCUGUGUUGGAGAAUGAGGUUUUACCCUUUCUGCAUUUGCGUGUUUAGUGCAAGCCAUUUACUAAAAGAUCUAUUUCUAGCUCAGAAUCAUUAAUACUGUCACUCUUUUUCAGCUUUUGGAUACACUACUAGUGUAUUCACUAGUGGUGGGUUGUUGACCCUAGCUGGACUCCUAGUGCCCACCAAAGCUGGAUGGGGAAGAGAAAAUACAAAAAAAAAAGCUCAUAGGUUGAACAGGGAAAGAUCAUUUAUCAGUUACUGGCAUGGGCAAAAGAGGCACAAAUUUAUUGCCAAUCUAAUCAGAGUGGGGUAAUGAGAAAUUAAAAUAAAUCUUAAAACACCUUCCCCCAUUCCUCCCAUCUUCCUGGGCUCAACUUCACCCCUCAUUUUCUCUCUCUCCUCCCUCUAAUGGUGCAGGGGGAUGGGUCACGGGUGCUGUGGCCAGCUCAUCAUGUGUGUUCUCUGCCUCUCCCUCCUCAGGGUUGGGCUCCUCACAUCUGCUCCAGCAUGGGAUCCUUCCCAUGUGAGACAGUCCAUCACAAACUUCUCCAACGUGGGACUCCUUCCCAUGGGCUACAGUUAUUCAUGAACUGCUCUAGCCACGGUCUCCCACAGGUUCUGCCAGCAAACCUCCUCCAGUGUGGACUCCUCUUUCCAUGGGGCCACAGGCCAAGGAGCCUGCUCCAGCAUGGGCUUCCCAUGGGAUCAGUCUCCUUUGAGCCCCCACCUGCUCAGCACUGGCUCUGUGAAAUGGAGGGGAAGCUUCUACCAGGUCCUCACAGAAGCCACUGUCUACCAUAACCAUGCCAGACAGACUCCAUGGCAAAGCUCCUGGUCUAGCAGAAGAGAUAUAUUAAGCAAUCCUAUGAAUUUCUUAAUAUGAUCUCAACUUUCCUGCACAGUUAUCCAGGAAACCAGUGGGGAACAAGCAUUAUAUCCUCUAUUAGUAGAUUUUGUCUAUCUAGAUGGAAAAAAUAUUCAAAGAAGCUUUUCAUAAUUAAUUUCUGCAUGCCAUAUGUGUGCUCAUGAGUGCUGUAAAGUAAAGCACAAGAACUGUGAUUUGUUUUGUGUUCAAUGUGACCAAUUUUGUGCCAACAAGUGAUUGUGCUUGUAACUGCCUGUUUGGCAUGUGCAACAACGUGUUUGCACUUCUAAAUGUGUAUUUGGGAGAAUACAAACCAGGACCUCACAGUUCACAACAGAGCAAAUGAAGCAUGGCAGUGAGUCACAGAAAAGACUGGCUUUGCAUGCAAAUUCUUUGAAUCUGGAAAUGGUUUCUGGGAUGAAAGCAUCUUGUUUCUCUGGUUAGUUCUUUAUAAAUUGUUUUAAAACUUGCUUAUUAGCCGUAAUUUGUCUUUUGUGAGCUUGGUGAACAGGUGUUUUUGCCCUUAAGACCCUUAAGACUCAUAAAGGAACAAGAUUUCUUUUUAUUUACAUUUUUAAGUGCUCAGUUGUCACAGCCAGCCAUUAUGCAAAACUGAUUCCAGUGACUAAUUUGACUUGACAUUUUGAUGCCUGUUUCUUUCAGAGUUCCAUGUUAUUUGGCUGAUCUUGGCCUGUACCAUGUCAUUCAGCAACAUAUACCUCCAUUUUUUAAAUAUUACUCUACUAAAGAACUAUAUUCAACCUGUCUGUCUAUUUUCUUAUAUGUAUCUACUCCUAGCUGUCCUGGAUUUUUCUUUAUGUCAGCAAGGUCAAACUCAUUCCUCUUCUAAUUAUACACAGUACCUAUUCACAUCUUUGCUAUUUAAGCAUGUCAGCUGUUGAAGUAAUUACAUUAGUGUGAAUGUCAAAGAAAAUUAGGGAAAAGGAGGGAAUACAAAUAAUUCAAAGCUUUAAGAGGAAAAGAAAUUUAUGCUUACUGUCCCUCAAUGUACUAUUAGACAAUAUAGUUUCAGGUGCUAAACAGUCUGGGGACCUGGCUUGAAUUUAGGUUUGAAAGGCUAAAUUCAAACCAAAAUUGAAAGGUAUUCUUCACUAUUCUUUCUUAUUAAUGUUUAGAUGAAAGCCAUAAGCUUUUAACCAAAUUCAUUACUUUCUGGGAGGAUCUGGAUGUCUGAAGAAGAAAUAUUCAGCCUUGCUAACUGAAGUUAAUGUCUUUAAGAUUGCUUAGAACCCCCCAGAAAAGAAACAGUGUACUAACUUGUAUGAAGGGAAGAGUUGCCAGGCCCUGCUGAUGAAAACAUAGUGGAAUCCAAUAAAUGUUCCAUUUGUAUUACAUAUCUUCCUUCUGGGAAAAUGUAUUGAGAAAUUUAUUAUGAUUUGCAGUUCAAGUUAAAAUCUCUCUUUGCUUUUUGAGUAAAGACCCUAUGUUCUAUUCUUUAUGGCACAGGACUUUACUGGUAGAAAUCCUCUCAUUUAGCAGUGGGAAAAGCUUAGACAUCCUGAUUCUCUUAUAUGUUUGUGGUUUAGCAUCCUUUUCUUCUGGUGUGUGCAGUUCCAGCCUCUUGCUUAGAAAGGCACAAGGAGGGAAGGCUUGUGCACACAGGGAGAAUUUUAUUUUAGUGGAGUUUUGACUGAUAUAUUUUCACAUAUCUUCUGAUUUGUGUUCCCUUUGGGUAGAGACAGCCAAUGUAGUAUUUGGCACUUAAAAGAUUACACAAUUAAUCUUGCAGAUGUUAGUCUGCAAAGAGCCCUAAACCAACUUUCCCAGUGAUGACCAUUUUCUGCUGCUGUCCUACUCAAGUAGCCCAGUUGUUGUUUAAUCUUUACAGGGAGAGUGGAGGCCAGCUGAGCUUUCUCACCUGAUUUUGAUCGCCUCAGGAGCAGAGAAAAACACCUGUAUUUUUCUGGUUGAUUUUUCCCAAAGCAGAGUUAAAUGUUCAGAGUGUAUUUAAUCAAUUUUUGACAGUGGUGUAUUCUGCAGUUGUGGUUAUAUGUGGGGGCCACAGCAAGAGAGCACCACUGUUAAACAUUAUGUUUUAGUGCUUUGAUUUUUGCAGUCAGUUACACUUACAGAAAUUGAGUAACAACGAAGCCAUCAUAUGUGCUAGAGGUCAGUGAAACAAAAAAAAUCUAUGUUUCAACACUGGUGAUGAGAAGCUUCUUUCUCCAGUUGAGAUAGAAUGGACUGGAUGAUUGGAUUCUACUAAUUCAGUAAUAUUACAUCUGAAUCUCUUCUGCAUCAUGAAGUGAAGGUAAGGUAUAUGAUUAUAUCAACAAUUACAUUGAAUUUAAGGGGUUUUUUGAAACUGGCUACUUUACUCCUGUUCAUGUUUCAAAGCCAUCCAUGUACCAGACUGAAUUUUUUCAGUUAUGCAUUUAUUUGUGGAGGAAUACCAGUCAGGUACAAGACUUGCAAAUUGCUUCUGAACUAAUCACUUUCAAUUUACGAAAAAAGAAACAAAGCUAAAUAAAACAAAGCCUUUCUCACUUUUAAGACAAAACUGAUUUUUAUUGUAAAAAUCUUCAUUAUAAAAUUGACCUAUUUUAACAACAAAACCCUCAUAGGCUGUAUAUUUCAGAUUUUAAAAUAUGUUUCUCUCUUUUAACUUAAAAUUAUUUAGAAACUGGAUUGUUUUGUCUGGGCAAAAAACAUCCCAAAACAAUCUUUUUUCAGUUCUAUCCAGACCUUUUCUUCAAAGCAUUUUUUCCAGUGCUUUUUCUUUUUUCAAGUUUGUCCAGCUUCUCGUGAAAAUAACUUUUGCAUUUCAUAUUUUAGGUUAAUCAGUCUGAUUUGAAAAUUGCAUUAACUUCUGUGAAAAUUUUCCUUUCCUUAUGAAACCAAAUGAAAGAAAGUGAUGCAGCAUGAGGUUUUAUUCACACAAGCUGGAAUGAGAAGGGAAAAAACAGAGGUGAGCUGAACUGGAAGAAAAGCCACAGUGGACAUAUGCAUAAAACUCAUAUUGAACUAAAAGAAACAAAGCCUUGAAAAAGAUUUAAGAAAAAUCUUGUCAAAAUGGACUGAUCUUUAUAAUAAACACACUUGUGAUCUAAUAACUCAUUUCAUGUUUGGAGAAGUUGGGAUUGAUAUUUUGCAACAGGUUCCAAUGUCAUACUUGGGUAAUUUUUUUGAUUUGUUGCAAUUUGAAGGACUGUGAGCUAGACAGGGCUGUUGAGCCCAGCAUAAACAGCUUCAGAGCUAUCAACUCUGGAAAAUCCCUUUCAACAGAAACCAUCCAAAGUUCAGGAACAUCACUAUUACAUUCAAAUUGGGUCAGUUUGUUAUGAGAGAGCUCUGAAAGAGAUUAUAUCAUUUCCUGACAUUAAAAACACACAUUUGAGGUUUUUUUAUGAUAGCAGUGUUGAUUGGUUUCAGAGUGUUUCAGCAUUUUGGCAUGCCCAUAACAUGAGGAUGUAUCAUCAACGUUGUAAUAAAAGAGCCAGGCUUGAUGAAAUUUGACCUUCUAGAAACUCCCAUUGAGAGGCAAAGCAUUCACAUCUUAGUACUUGUCUUUUUAUCUAGCAAGGGGGUUUUACAGUCUAGAUUCGUUGUUCAUGCCAGGAAAAGAAUUCUUCUUCUUCAUUAAAAAAAAAAAAAUCAGGUUUGCAAGUGAAUGCUUAACUUUUGUGUUUUACAGUUGUGUCUGCAGAGAAGAUAAAUUGCAAUUCUUCAAAUCUAAAAAAUUCCAAACGUGGAGUUACAGAUGAAAGACUUAAAAAAAGUCCAUUUAAUCUGAAUGUUGAAUCUUUCUGAUUUGUUUUGGAUAUGUGUCUGCAAUUUUUACUAUGUUGUUAUUUAUUUCUAAAUUGGUCCCUUUAGGUACAAUUAUUUUAAUAGUCAAAAUAAAGUAAAAUAAUAGUUAGUAUAUUAGAAUGCAGCAAUUUUUACUUGCAAUUCUAAAAGAAGGUGGUUGGGUGCAUGAUCUAUUGCCUGCUCUCAAUUUUCAAUUGGAUUAUUAAUCUAAAGUAUUCUAAUUCUCAAACGUAUUAAUUUCACAAUAAUUCACAACGUGAAUUCAAAUCAGUUAGGAAAACUAGUCCAAGUAGAUUCAAUUACAUAAAUUAAAAGGUAUGUCCAUACUUCUGCUUGUUUUUGUUUAUAUGAUGUGUCUCAAAACUCUUCACAUCUGCAGGCAUGGAGUUAUAAAAUUCCAUAUUCUAGAUAUCUAUGUCUAUUAAUGUUUAUGCAAAGCAACAUGUACCCUUUUUUGUACAAAUGAUCUAUAAUUAUGCCAUAAAUUUUUAGCAUGCAAAUUUUUUUCCUAAACAAUUGAUCCCAGUGGGAUGAAAAAUACUAACCUGAAUUUAUUUCCUUAUGCCCAACAUAUUUCACUAUAUAAUCAGAUUGUUUUUCAUUAAAUGAAUGUUGUCUCCAUACUGGCUUUCUCUAUUUGAAGGUGGUAAUGAAUAAAUUUAAACUCUGAAUCACAGGUGUUUAAAUUGGCUGAGGGAAUAAAUGUAUAACUACAUUCAUAAAUACAUAUCAAAGCAGUCAAAGGCUUAGCUAUAUAUUAUGCCUUGAUGUGUGUGCAAAAUUUCCAUUACUGUUAUUGGGAGAUAAUGUGGGUGUUGUGGGGUCAGAAUAUAUUCCAGGUAGUAUCCUGUGACAUGUUUUUUUCCUAGUAGUCCCAUUUUCCCUUCUUUAUAUGCUGUUUGCUACAGUAACAUAGCAUUUGAAUUAGAGUUUUAGGAACUCUGAGGAAAGCAAUUGCAGAAUUUAUGUUUGUGACAAAAAAAUGAUUUUGCAAGUUUCAUGUUUGUACUGAAAAA